UUCUCUUGCCUGGUUUGUUAAUUGCUAAUUUGCUAAUUUGAUGUUGCAAAGCUUUCAGAUGAAGCAAAUGUUUUGUAGGAAGUAAACUGGAAAACACGGGAGGGAAGCGAUGACUUUUGAAACUGAAUCACGCAUGAUUUUAUUCUUCAUGAUUGCUAAUAUGCUUAAGUUACAAGAUUAUAAAUAAAUCAGCUUGGACUAAAGGAUGUAGACCGUUAAGGCCUUUGAAAAGAUCGAUUUUAAUUGUCGUUUUCGGAUUCAAGGACUAACCAUUAUAUAAAUAUUAUGUGUAUACUUUAUUGACUGGCAAGGGUAAACCAAGCCAGAGUGUUUUGGGAGAGAGAGGAAAAGAGGCGUGGAAAAACCUUAGCAAAAAUUUGCUAGAAAAGUGUAACUUUUCGUGGGAGAUAUCUUGUUUUAUAAAAUUUGUUUUAUAAAAAUCAAAAAAGACAAUUCUAAUAAAUUUGAAUACUGUCAAGGAAAAGAAGCCUGGCGUCCUCAUAACAAGAAUCACAAAGCUUUUUUGUCACAGGGCUCUGCUUAGCUAGCGACUUGAACAGCGCAUCAGACCGUUUCUUAAAACAAUUUGGCGUUUUUCUUUUUGGAUUCCCAGAAAACCGAAGAGGACAAAAAAUCAUUAUCAAUUGUUUUGUAGUCUGGUUCCUUUGUGAUAUGCUGUGAAACCCAACGAAUACCUUGCAGCUAUACAAACCCAUUUCCAGAUCAAGUACCCUACUUCCUCCUUUUCCCAACCCAUUUGACCCUCCCUUCCCAUAGCCACACUUUACCACUUCUCCCAGCCCUUCGUUCCCAGAGCCACGCCGUACCAUGUUUAUCUCACACUCUACAGUACUUUUAUAAGCACUCCGUGUCGAUUGCUACUUUUUGUUAAUCGUUAUAACAUAUAUAUUUUUAUUUGCAUUUACUAACGUUGGCAACCGUGAUUCUGGACGCAGGAUUGCGAGGGGCGCCUACAAGAAAUGGACAUACCGAAUUAAAGCUCCGAAAUGUCCUUUCUGGUUUUCUGGCUGAUGAACUGCUUUCUUAUCAUUUUCUGCCCAUUUUCAAGCUAAUUGCUCAAAACAUACAAGGAACAGACACAACCACCCCCAUCUGAGUUUGAGGCUGUAACCAGGUGAUAACGACUCCCCCUUAUCUCCUUUUUUCUCCUUUUUCCAUUUUGGAUUUUACACUUUUAUUCACACAUUUUAUUUUUAGUUUUUACCUUCUAUGCCUAUCGAAACAUGCUCUUCUGAUUCAAACUAAAUCUCUGAAACUACUGAAACUCGCGUGUUCAAAGUCUCCGUCAUAGUGAUUUAAACAAAAAAGGCGUACAAAGAAUGAAGUUAGCAAACAAUUUGUUACAAAAUGUCUUCCCAGGUCCUAAACUCUAUUAGAGGAGAAUUAGAAUGAAUUUAUGAAAGUAGUUGAUAGACAUCUAUUUUGAUAGUUAUGUUUUCUUUUCUCCUAUGGCCUCGUUCUUUGGUGUAUUUGGCAACAAAUUCGCUGCAUUCCCCUUUUCAACUACAUUUGAUGUCCACUGUCUCGAACUUUGGCAGGAAAUUUAAUUUUGUUCGAGAAAGCGGGUAAUCGAGAUAGUGAGCAAUUUUUCUAUCAUUAGCCCUAUACUAAAACGAGAAGAAGCGAAAAAACGAUUUAAUUAAUGAAUGCUUGAGAAUGCGGGUAUUCGAGAUAAUGGAUGCCGUUUGUUUCCCAGAAAUGCCUUCUUAUACCAUGUCAAAAAAUAGAAAGAAAAAAUACAAGAUCGAUUUCUUGUUUGCCUUGACCUAGCCUAGAAUGGUGUCCAUAUUGUAACCUAUUUUUGAAAUUCAAAUUGCAAUGGAAUCUGUGUAUUAAAUAGGAUUAUAAGUGGCUGGAAGUAAACUCUGUACUUAACGUUCCAUAGCCCCCUACACAGAAAAUUGAUCCCAGAAACCACAUAACCGUAAACGUCAUUUACUUGACUGUGUAUUCAGGGGCCAUUGCAAUGUGCGUUGGCAGAUUUUUGUUCUUGACACCGUAACAUUCGGUGUGGGCGUUGCGAUCACUCGCCAAAAGCACAGGCGGCUGCUUGGAGGAGAUAAAAAGGCGUUGGAGUUGGCAGCUUUAGAAAAACGUGAUACGCUAUGCUGAAAAAUACUUAUGCAUGUGUAGAGGCGCAUUUACUGCCAAAAUUAGUUCUUUAUUAUUUCACAUUUGUUCUUAAGUUUAGUUUUUAUAUGUUAAGCAUAUUAAGUAUGUUUAGUAUUUGAAUUUAGUAUAUUAGCUUUAAUCAAAUCAAAACUUCAGUUUCAAAACAAUCAACUUUUAAUUUACUUGUAAUCAUACUCUUAUUGUAAUCAUAAAAUUAUGGUAUGAUUGAUAAAAUGCAUGUUCUUGUAAAAUAUUUACAUGCUUGAUUUAGUUUUAAUGCUAUCCUUAAAUUACCAUGUACAUUAAGAUCGAAAACGUUUGGACGGAAAACUUCCUGCAAAACAACUUCGGACGAAAUAUUUACGGACGCAUUUUCGAGAAUUUCGGACAAAAAACGUUCGGGCAAACUCGUUUUGUAUGAUACAAAGAUAAAUGCCAAAAUCAGCCAUGGUUUUACGUUAAUAUGGAUGUAAUAGAGAAGCUAAGGAAAAACUAGACUUGAAAAGCUUAAAGCUGCAUCAUAGCCCAUGCACACCAGUGGCAGAAAUUCAUUUUCAAUACAACAGCCCACAAAAACAAGGACAUUUGCCGACACAUGACAUAAUUUACCGGCAAAAGCGUAUCUUAACCAGCAAUUUAACAAAACCGGGGGAGGGGUAAUUUCCCCCCACACCCCUGAAAUUUCCGCCACUGCUGCACACCGCCGCGAAUAAGAAGAAAGCUGAAAAAACCUCAAGAGCUAAGUGUUUAUUUCUUUAAAGAGGUGACACGUCCUCGAUGAAAAAUAUCAAGUCCUCGUGGGGAACUGAAUUUGUUAGGAGUACAGUUUUGAAGAUACCAGACCAUAGUCGCAAGAAAAGCUGCACAGGAGUCCUUAUCUUGUAACUAUCAUCAAACUUAAAGAGGAGGUACCUCUGUCGACUCAAGGACACUUGUUUCUAACAACUAAGAUUCGGAAACUAACAUGGAAUGCUGGAUGCUGAUAAAAACAUUUAGCAUUUUAAAAGCGUUACGAGAGAAAUUGAAAUUAUGAUUGAUGGAGAUGACAAUGAUCGAAGAAUCGAUGAUCAGAACGAAGUUCUGCUAGUUACGAUUUGACAUGAAGGUUCAGAUUCGAACCAUAAAAAAUCGUCGUGAAAAGCUAAAACCAGAAAUUAUUUGCAUCGAUGACUGAAAUAGGUCCCUGCAUCAUGUGUUUUCAUUCUAAAUUAUAAUAUUUUAUGUACAAGAAAAAGAAAAAGAUUAUUAUCCACUGCAUUUCUUUGUGUUUUUCUCAAUCUUUUGGAAUUGGAAACUUUCGAACGAAAAAACUUUCAGACAAACUUAGAUUUCGGACAAAUAUAAUUUCGGACGAUUGAUCCUAAAGUUUAAUCGUCCGAAAGUUUUCGGUUUAAAUGUAACAUCUAAAUUCUAGUCUCAGCCUCGAUUUCACACAAACUCAUUAAAUCAAGUUUUAAUGUCAGCCUCUAAUUAUUAAUGUCUGUUUUUUCGCGCCUUCUUUCUCUCAUAGUUUUGCACUGUAGUUUUUUGAUGUUUUGAAAAUGCACAGUCACAUUUGAAAAGGAUAAGAAAAAAGGGCACACUAUCACCAUGAGGGGAAAUUACUGUAGUCGGGAACAGCGGAACACGCACUAUUACUCGCAAGGGCCGAAGAGCACAUUACAGAUUGAAAGGAACGACAAAACAUGCUUUCGGGAAAUAUAACAAACGCUGGCUAAUAAGUUUUUACUAACUACAACACUUUGAAAUUACUGACAAUGUAAAGAAUCUCAGCCUACAAACUGACGCACUAUAAAAUGUAAAGAACUAUAAUAAGUAACUAAUGGCAACCACAACAAAAUCCUUGCAGAGUAGUAGAACAGAUCCUUUCUCGCCGUCUUCUGUUUUACUGUUAUUAAAUUUCAAUCAGUUUUAAUAAGCAAUGUUUAAUUAAUUUGGGGGCCUUAGCUCGAUAGCUCUUUUUAGAGUUCUUUCUAAGGGUCUUAAACAGCAAGUAACAUUAUAAUGUCAAGCUGUUAGCCUAGGAAUUAUUGUAAUUAAGAUAGAUUUUAAAAAACUGUAUUGUAGCUUUUCUUCAACACGUAUUUUAUAUUUUAAACUUUAACAUGUUUUUUUGAAUGAAAUUAAAUUGAAAUUGAAUUGAAAAUUGAUCAAAAUGUUUUUUUGGGCGGGGAGGGGGGGGUAAACAUGUAAAAAUGCAACAGCAGGCAAUUUCUUUAUGGUUUUAAGACAUUUUGAAAACUGUUUGGGGGCUAAAGCCCCCGGUUCCGCGGUCCCUGAUUACAAGACCCAAUUAAAGUAGGCCCAUUUCUUCCACUGUAAAACCACACUCGUUCCACAGUGAAAAUACUCUAAAGAUCUAUUAACUCUGUGCUUAUUACCAAAAUGAAGUGCAUACAGAUGUGUUGACAAUGCGAUUAAGAUCCUGUUAUAGUGCUCACACUUACAAUAAACAUUGAAAUCUAUCGUUAUUAGUGAUCUCAUAGGCUAAAAAUUGCACUUUUGCAAGGCUUUUGAUGAACCUGAACAGAGAAGGUUAAUCAAGGACUAACAAAGGAUAUGCAGUAGAGCCACAGAAAAAGCAAACGGUAAAACAGGAUUAAAAAACUCCAAGCUGUUGGCGUAGUGUGUGUAUAGGGAGAGAGAAGGUCACGAAGAGCAAAGGACGUUGUUGCCAGGAGAUAAUGAUAGAAUUCGCUCUUUAGAAUGCCAGAAAAAUCCCAUUUUUGACAUGAAUCAACAAAGAAACGUUUAAAAAAAUGCUUGGGCUAACCUCUCACCUUUGUCUUUUUCUCCUGCUUUAACAAUCCCUAAUGUAAAACAAAAAUGUCAGAAAGCAUUGACUGAAUAGCAAAUGAACAAAUCAAACAAUCAAGCAAAGGUCAAGCCUUUGUAAAGUGCAGCAUGUGUUUCUUGGACAAAGCUGUAAGUGAGAUACAAAAGAGUUUUAAGUGUAUCGUCAUAAGAAUUUUUUUAGUUUUGACUACAAAACCUGAGCGAAAAUCAUGAAACACCUCUGUAAGUGCAGAAUCAGCUACAUUUGUUAAAAAUUGGGUGAGCUACGGGCAAUGAAUGAUUUUAAGUUAAGUUUGCUAGUAGAUUAAUUUUAUUUUGGCUUGGUUCUAAAAAUCUAAGAAAAUUCUAGAAAUCUAUUCAUCACUAAAAAACUCUAUAGAAAAUUGUAGUGUGUCUUGGAUCUCCUGCCCCCUUCCCAUCGUACAAAACUAUUAACUCAUUGGAAAAUGCUCAUUAGGUGCCGAAUAAAGCAUGACACGAUGCUUGUAGUUGAAACUUUUAAAGUCCAUCGAAACACAAGUUUUUUCUGGUUGAGCAAAUCAUGAACAGUUUUAAAGUCAGAGGUCGUAGCCCAAAAUAUUCAGAUACUCGAAUUUUAAGAAAUAAUGACACUUGCGAGAACAUUUUUGCUCCAUCAAAUAUUCGACCAUUUUCAAAAACUUGCAAUAAUUUUAUUGAAUCACCUUUGAUAAAGAACUUGGAAAUGCUUUGACAACAUUAACUACGUUAGCAUGUUGCUAAGAUACGCUCUAAAGGCCUUUAUCGGCGAUUGGUCUUAUGUUAUAUUGAUUCAUUAUAUAACCCUUUGCAUUGAGAGUUUGUGAAUUAAUCAUAUGAAAUUAUCUUAUUGAAUUUCUGCUGUAGCCAUCAACGGUUGCUAGAAACAGUUAGAGUUACACAAGCGGUAUUCAUUAAAGAUUCUAGUCCUAAAAAGUGAUGCAAAUUAAAAUAAGCCACAAGAACUCAAGGAAAGGAUCACAGUUGUCUGAACACAUUAAAGCCGGUAUAGACUUGCGCUCACUUUACUGACCCUUGCAAGCAACAAGCGAUAUCAUUGACACUUUCAAACAUGAAUUGUGACAAAAAUAGAGGCAGUUCAUAUUCCAUGGUGUGAAAAAGCACAGUUGAAAUUACUUGAGAUUGCCAAGAAAGAGCCUAAAAGACAGAAUAUAACUUGGAAACCUUACAGGUAGUUCUUAACUGUUACUAUGCAUUAACAGAACUGCAUUGAUGGUACAAUCUUAUUGCCGUUUUCGUGUCUUCACAUAACGUCGUUUGUCAAGAAAAGCUUUUCAAAUUUCGUCAUCUAUUCCUAUAAGCCAGAGAGUCAAGAACAAAAGCAAAGCUAUACGAUAAAGCAGCUACUCUCUCGCAUUUGCAGCAGGAAUUGCGAUCAAGAUGAUGCACCAGAAGUUAGGCCCUGGUUUUCAUGGUGAAAUGGUGAAAACAAAGGACAAGAUUUAGCGAUGAUAUUUACGUAUCAAUUUUCUGGCUGUUUAGGUCAGGAAUUCUAAUGUCCACUCCCGGGGAAACAAUAAUCAAUCCAAUUUUCUUUCUAUGCUUGGUGUAGGAUAAGAGGAUAAAUUCAAACUGUUGCUAAUUAAUUAUAUCAAAAUGUGGCAGGUAGCCAUGACAACGAACAAUUUAGUGUCUGGAAUCAAUUACUUUUCAGACACCUCUUUCAUGUUUUUCUUUGGUGCGUUUCGAAGAACUUCCUUUCCUCGCCACCUUUAAACUAGCAAGACAACCUGGACAAAUUUGUUAAUGAUAUUUUAUCACCUGUUGAUAGAAAUUCAGUAAAACCUAAAUGAGGAGAACAAACGACGACUCAGUGGAUGGAGAAAGUACGACGAGAAAACUUCUUUCCGCCUUUGGUUAUACCAGACGCGUACAAGAGAAAGAAAGUGUGCUCGACAUUGUCAAAGGAAGGGGAAAAAGUGAAGACCGAAUUAGAGCAAAAGAAGAUUUUCCAUGAAAUGUUCCGGAAACGAUUCUCCCAAGAGCUUGGUUGUGGUAUAAGUACAAAACAAGAGUGUUAUGGGAAGGCCAAUGCUGAAGACUUCUGUGUUGCCUGUGCACAAAGGGUGUCUUUGCAAUCGUUUAAGAGGCCUUUAAAGGGAGGCAGAAAAGCGACUAGUCUACCAAACGAUGCCAUGAAAGGGUGCAUUUGCAUCUUAUGUAAACGAUCAUUGCCACUCUCACCGCAAGGGGUGGGCAAUCAUCACAUGGUCGUGGACAGAAAGACUGCUGAAGGAACUAUAAACAAAACUCAAGAAGCGAAAUUAGGACGAAAGGAGUAUAUGAAAAUCUAUGAGGGAGACAGGGACUUUCAAAUAAGCUCGCUACAUUAUGAUUCACGAUUAGAAGCAACAAAUUAUAAACUGGAAGCAGAACAGUACCUGCCUCCGAGGGAAGUGAUGAGAAGAUCGGAGAGAAAAUGUCAGCUGUGGCUGUUAAAGAAUGAAGAACAUUUGAAAAUGGAAGCAAACAGACACAGGCCGUGAUGCAUUUUUGAUUCGUGUAAAGUAUGAUUUCAAAAAGGAAAUACACCUUGCAUAAAUUAAAAAAUUUGAAAAAAGCCAGAGGGUUGAACAUUUGCAAGAACGGACUAGGGAUAGCAAAUUAGUUGGGAAAGCUUGUCAGUUGAUAUUCGUUUUCCAAUGUGAGUACUAUGGUUAUAGGUUAUUGUAGUACAGCAAAGGUACGUUAAUUUAUAAGUGCCCUAAAUUUUAAUCGCAUUUCAGUUCAUAAUGAACAUUCAGGAGGGUUUAAAUAGAACGGGAAGUUGGGAAAUUUUUAUAAGCUUGGAAUUACUCAUUGGAUUGGAUACACUUUUUAGAGAAUAAUUCGAUAUUUAAACAAUAAAAUUAAUCACAUCCUAAUUAGAACGUAUCACUUACAAACACGCCCAUUAGAUAGUGGUAGAAGAUACCCUCUUUCUAAUUGUGAGGAACAAAUGUCCAACAAAGCUAGAUUUGGUAGCGGAGGUCCCUUUUAUUCGAAAAGGUGACAUUAUGUUGCUGUUAUGCUCCUUCAUUGCUACCUUAUGUAGCAAAAAGCAAAUAAGGUAAAUUUUUAAGCACGCUAGUAUGCUAACGCAUAAGAAUUGUAGCAAUAUAAAUUAGCAUGAACUAAUGAUAUACACAAAGCAUUUGUUUGAAACAUGAACUUAUUGUAAACAUUACACAACGGGAGCGACAGGGAACCUUUACCUCUCAUUUUGUACAUGUUAUGGGUCACCAUGAAAAACUCCAAAUAAGCAAUUUGUAUCAAACGAACAAUUGUUAAUUGUUAUAAAUUUUCGUGUAGUGGUUAUGCUUAUGUUUAUCGAUUUUUUAAAUGUAGAUAAAAUGAAGCUAAUACAAAUAUCGAAAAAAUUUCAGUCAAAUAAUAACUUUGGAAUUUUCACUAAUAUAAUCAUUUUGUUUCAGAGGAUACGACAAAUGUAAAUGAUUACUUUCCCAGGAUUAAUGAGGAGAAAGUUUUCAGCAUGGCCAGAUGAUUUCUCACUUAAAGAGAGAUUCUGUUACCCGGGGC
Molecule: non-coding RNA, 8466 nt
Organism: Rhopilema esculentum
Lineage: Eukaryota; Metazoa; Cnidaria; Scyphozoa; Rhizostomeae; Rhizostomatidae
Source: RefSeq, a predicted model, not a curated record